This 450-nucleotide ribosomal RNA is filed under the name uncultured bacterium. Its description in RNAcentral is "partial 16S ribosomal RNA". It matches the Rfam family "Bacterial small subunit ribosomal RNA", at positions 29 to 523 of the family's 1533-position model. The record is from RNAcentral.
AACGAACGCUGGCGGCAUGCCUAACACAUGCAAGUCGAACGGAUGUAGCAAUACAUUAGUGGCGCACGGGAUAGUAACGCGUGGGAAUCUGCCUCAUAGUUCGGAAUAACACCGGGAAACUGGUGCUAAUACCGGAUACGCCCUUCGGGGGAAAGUUUUUCGCUAUGAGAGGAGCCCGGGUUGGAUUAGCUAGUUGGUGAGGUAAUGGCUCACCAAGGCGACGAUCCAUAGCUGGUCUGAGAGGACGAUCAGCAUCACUGGGACUGAGACACGGCCCAGACUCCUACGGGAGGCAGCAGUGGGGAAUAUUGGACAAUGGGGGAAACCCUGAUCCAGCAAUGCCGCGUGGGUGAAGAAGGUCUUCGGAUUGUAAAGCCCUGUUGGCAGGGACGAUGAUGACGGUACCUGCGGAAUAAGCUCCGGCUAACUUCGUGCCAGCCGCCGCGGUAA